Molecule: long non-coding RNA, 991 nt
Filed under: Homo sapiens (human)
Lineage: Eukaryota; Metazoa; Chordata; Mammalia; Primates; Hominidae
Description: long non-coding RNA NONHSAT196327.1
Source: RNAcentral
UGAUCUGUGGCCAGCCAAACAAUACCCACUUGUCACGCCAAAUGAAGAGAGAAAUGUCAUGGAAGAGGGAAAAGACUUUCAGCCCUCAAGAUCUACAGCUCAACAGGAACUUGAUGGGAAACCUGCUUCUCCUACUCCGGUUAUUGUGGCCUCCCACACAGCCAACAAAGAAGAAAAGAGUUUACUCGAACUAGAAGUAGAUUUGGAUAAUUUGGAAUUAGAAGAUAUUGACACAACAGAUAUCAAUCUGGAUGAAGAUAUUUUGGAUGAUUGACUGUAAUGCUUUCCAUUUACCUGACUAAACAGAUCAUUAUUAUAUAUAGCCUGAUCCUUGGCCCCUUGAGCCGACUGGCCAUCUGGAUGGAGCACGUGAUACAGCUGGACCAAGUUGGUUGCAUCAUCGAUUCUGAGAAUGAAAGGGUUUAAUGUUAUCUAGGGGUUUUCUUCAUUUGAUUCACAGUCCUAUAAAAGUGUGUGCCAACUUCAAACUAAAUUACAUUUCAGACUUUCCUCAGGCUGGAGGGAUUGGGGAAGGACCUUCAGUUUUACAGUUUCAAAAGCAUUUUCAGGAAAAUUGACUAAUUUAGGCCUCACACCAACUCCGUGAGGCAGCUAGGGCAGGAGUCACUGCAGGAAGUGUCCAAUUUAUGAAAGUGAAUAUAUUCCAAAUGUGGCUAUAUUCUUUUUGGAAAAAGAGCACCAUUUCUCACAGAAACAGCAUUCCUAAUGGUAGACAAUUUCCAGGCCAGCUUACUUCACCAGCAUGUAAUAGUCUAAUCCAACUCAGAGGACAGAAACACAGCUUCAUCCCACAUAAGCAGGAGGGUGGUGGUCACAGGGAUCUCAAAGUCACUUGCCUCUAAGUGACAUUUGCUAACAGACAAAUGCCUCUACAAGAGGCCCCCUAAGAUUCCAAGGAAAGGAUUCACAGGAACGCAUUAGUAAAAUAGCAUCCUAGUGAAGCAAAUUUGAAAUUAUACACACACAUCAG